UGGGGAAUAUUGCACAAUGGGCGCAAGCCUGAUGCAGCCAUGCCGCGUGUGUGAAGAAGGCCUUCGGGUUGUAAAGCACUUUCAGCGAGGAGGAAGGUGGUGAGCUUAAUACGCUCAUCAAUUGACGUUACUCGCAGAAGAAGCACCGGCUAACUCCGUGCCAGCAGCCGCGGUAAUACGGAGGGUGCAAGCGUUAAUCGGAAUUACUGGGCGUAAAGCGCACGCAGGCGGUUUGUUAAGUCAGAUGUGAAAUCCCCGGGCUCAACCUGGGAACUGCAUUUGAAACUGGCAAGCUAGAGUCUCGUAGAGGGGGGUAGAAUUCCAGGUGUAGCGGUGAAAUGCGUAGAGAUCUGGAGGAAUACCGGUGGCGAAGGCGGCCCCCUGGACGAAGACUGACGCUCAGGUGCGAAAGCGUGGGGCAGCAAACAGGAUUAGAUACCCUGGUAGUCCACGCUGUAAAACGAUGUCGAUUUUGGAGGUUGUGCCCUUGAGGCGUGGCUUCCGGAGCUAACGCGUUAAAUCGACCGCCUGGGGAGUACGGCCGCAAGGUUAAAACUUAAAUGAAUUGACGGGGUCAUAGCUGUUUCCU
RNAcentral lists this ribosomal RNA (589 nucleotides) under uncultured bacterium. RNAcentral describes it as "partial 16S ribosomal RNA". It matches the Rfam family "Bacterial small subunit ribosomal RNA", at positions 355 to 1375 of the family's 1533-position model. The record is from RNAcentral.